This 708-nucleotide long non-coding RNA is filed under the name Mytilus galloprovincialis (Mediterranean mussel). The record is from RNAcentral. Lineage: Eukaryota; Metazoa; Mollusca; Bivalvia; Mytilida; Mytilidae.
GGACUUCAUUAAUUAGGUCUUUCCACCUUUCUUGUGGAAAGACCUAUUGUAUUUGUUCUGAUUUUUUUUUUUUUCUUCCGCCUAAUUUUUUUCUUGCGGUGUAAAAAUGUUUCAAAAGAUGUCGCUUAGUUUUUUUGUAUAUGAUAUCAUUCAGUCUAUACGCUUUUGAAACUGACCCUGUUUAACCGAACACUUUUCUUUGUAAGAGUUAUCUCCCCAAACACUGUUUUUCUUGUUAUCAGAUCUCCUCCGCAACCGUAAAAGAAAGCGACAAAUUUAUUUUUCCAAAUUGCUCGUUAUAUCCUCAGGAUGUUACGUUUUAUUUUCACCGAAGCUUUACGAAGACUCCAUAUGAGAGUUAUUUCCCCUUUUGUAAUGAAAUAAAUGAAAUAAAUUUGUUACUGGAAAACCAUUAGUGAUAGAGGCCUAGGGUCUUUUGAUUUGAGGUCCUAAUGGUCCAAAAAAAUGAAAAUGAGGUCAAGGUCAAAGGUCAAGGUCAUGUUCAAAAAUAUGAUUUUGGCUUGUUAUCUCUUAUUUUCAGAAAUCCUAUAAGAUAUCGACAAAAUAUUUUCACAAAAUGUGUGUUACGACAUGGCGUAACACGUAAAUUUUAGUUAAAAGGGUACGUAAACAUUUGAUGCGACUUUUCCCCCCUUUUAUAUCUUAUAUUAGUUGUAUGGUAAUAUAACUCAUUAUCAUUAUAAAGUA